CUCAUAAUGGGUCUUCAGGUCUAUAUGCGCCUGACAAGUUUCAUGGAGGUGGUGUUGGGCUCAGUGAGGGAGAGUGGAGCAACGACAACACCUAUAUACGACACUGCUUUGCUCAACAGAAGCAGCUUCCCAGCUGGUUUCCUCUUUGGCACUGCCUCAGCCUCUUAUCAGUAUGAAGGUGCAGCAAAUGAAGGGGGCAGAGGGCCAAGCAUAUGGGACACUUAUACUCUCACAAA
Molecule: long non-coding RNA, 236 nt
Organism: Syzygium oleosum
Lineage: Eukaryota; Viridiplantae; Streptophyta; Magnoliopsida; Myrtales; Myrtaceae
Exons: 2
Source: RefSeq, a predicted model, not a curated record